AUUAAUAAGCGGAGGAAAAGAAACCAACAGGGAUUCCCCUAGUAAGGGCGACUGAAGGGGAAGAGCCCAGCGCAUAACCUCGCGGUCCCAAGCCGGCCGUCGAGGGGUGUUGCGUUUCGGUGCAUCCGCACCGCUGUCACUGCUCACCGUCUAAGUCAUUGCUUAAAUGCAGCCCCAGGGCGGGUGAAAGGCCCGUGUGGCGGCGCCCGUAAGAAGGGUGUAGGCAGUCGGCGGCGGGUGGGUGUUCACCGUAGAGUCGGGUUGCUUAGUAUUGCAGCCCUAAGCAGGUGGUAAACUCCAUCUAAGGCUAAAUAUGACCACGAGUCCGAUAGCAGACAAGUACCGUGAGGGAAAGCUGAAAAGGACUCUGAAGAGAGAGUUAAGAAGGACGUGAAACCGUUGGAAGUCUAAACGGGUGGAACCAAGAUGAACGAAAGAGGGGAUUCAGCCCGUGGGCCGCCGGCGUGCGGUGUGGCGGUACAGAGGGGCAAUUACGAUGUAGAGACCCGGCGUAAAUUGUGGCUUGCCGUGGCUCCGUCCCUGCCGCCGAGCGGUUCUGCCGCGGGCUUAAUUCGCCCUCCAGUAGUUGGGUCGCUGUGACUCGUGGUGGGGACCCCGAGACCCGUGUCGGAUUGGUAGCCAGGAGCUCUGCUCCCUGGUGAUGACCGGCUGCGACGUCGACCGGGCCCCCGUGCCGCGAUCACUACGAGGAGAGGCUCGCAAGAGUCCUCUCUCAUCGGCGAUCCCAAAAGAUCGGUCAUCCACCUGA
This 769-nucleotide ribosomal RNA is filed under the name Crangonidae sp. BOLD:ACR5265. RNAcentral's name for it is "eukaryotic LSU rRNA". It matches the Rfam family "Eukaryotic large subunit ribosomal RNA", at positions 42 to 647 of the family's 3401-position model. Lineage: Eukaryota; Metazoa; Arthropoda; Malacostraca; Decapoda; Crangonidae. The record is from RNAcentral.